RNAcentral lists this ribosomal RNA (226 nucleotides) under uncultured archaeon. RNAcentral's name for it is "partial 16S ribosomal RNA". It matches the Rfam family "Bacterial small subunit ribosomal RNA", at positions 367 to 610 of the family's 1533-position model. The record is from RNAcentral.
GACAAUGGGCGCAAGCCUGAUCCAGCCAUGCCGCGUGAGUGAUAACGGCCUUAGGGUUGUAAAGCUCUUUCGCACGCGACGAUAAUGACGGUAGCGUGAGAAGAAGCCCCGGCUAACUUCGUGCCAGCAGCCGCGGUAAUACGAAGGGGGCUAGCGUUGUUCGGAAUCACUGGGCGUAAAGCGCACGUAGGCGGAUUGUUAAGUCGGGGGUGAAAUCCUGUAAUCC